Molecule: long non-coding RNA, 214 nt
Filed under: Prunus persica (peach)
Lineage: Eukaryota; Viridiplantae; Streptophyta; Magnoliopsida; Rosales; Rosaceae
Description: long non-coding RNA (PPER_LNC005747)
Source: RNAcentral
AAUUUACACAUUUAUGUACUCUUUAUACUUUAUUUUUGUAGGAGAAUUUGAUUUAAAAAUGACUUAUUAAUUUAUUUUCUCAAUUUUCAGCUUUUCAGAGCAAGUAAGUUGUUUUCAACGGAAAUACGAUUUUUGGUGGAGUUUUAGUACGAGACCAAUUGGAGAUAAAAGCUAAGACCUUGAAGAUGAUUGUAGAAUUUUUCUAGAAUUUUCG